This 73-nucleotide transfer RNA is filed under the name Vicugna pacos (alpaca). RNAcentral's name for it is "tRNA-Ala (AGC) (tRNA-Ala-AGC-756-1)". It matches the Rfam family "tRNA". Rfam says of the family: Transfer RNA (tRNA) molecules are approximately 80 nucleotides in length. Their secondary structure includes four short double-helical elements and three loops (D, anti-codon, and T loops). Further hydrogen bonds mediate the characteristic L-shaped molecular structure. tRNAs have two regions of fundamental functional importance: the anti-codon, which is responsible for specific mRNA codon recognition, and the 3' end, to which the tRNAs corresponding amino acid is attached (by aminoacyl-tRNA synthetases). tRNAs cope with the degeneracy of the genetic code in two manners: having more than one tRNA (with a specific anti-codon) for a particular amino acid; and 'wobble' base-pairing, i.e. permitting non-standard base-pairing at the 3rd anti-codon position. The record is from RNAcentral. Lineage: Eukaryota; Metazoa; Chordata; Mammalia; Artiodactyla; Camelidae.
GGAGGGUAUAGCUCAGUGGUAGAGCACAUGCUUAGCAUGCACGAGGUCCUGGGUUCGAUCCCCAGUACCUCCU